Molecule: ribosomal RNA, 297 nt
Filed under: Enterobacter sp. FB5Ea
Lineage: Bacteria; Pseudomonadati; Pseudomonadota; Gammaproteobacteria; Enterobacterales; Enterobacteriaceae
Description: partial 16S ribosomal RNA
Rfam family: Bacterial small subunit ribosomal RNA
Source: RNAcentral
GUACUUUCAGCGGGGAGCGAAGGUGUUGAGGUUAAUAACCUCAGCAAUUGACGUUACCCGCAGAAGAAGCACCGGCUAACUCCGUGCCAGCAGCCGCGGUAAUACGGAGGGUGCAAGCGUUAAUCGGAAUUACUGGGCGUAAAGCGCACGCAGGCGGUCUGUCAAGUCGGAUGUGAAAUCCCCGGGCUCAACCUGGGAACUGCAUUCGAAACUGGCAGGCUAGAGUCUUGUAGAGGGGGGUAGAAUUCCAGGUGUAGCGGUGAAAUGCGUAGAGAUCUGGAGGAAUACCGGUGGCGA